Molecule: ribosomal RNA, 421 nt
Filed under: uncultured bacterium
Lineage: Bacteria
Description: bacterial SSU rRNA
Rfam family: Bacterial small subunit ribosomal RNA
Source: RNAcentral
AGCGAACGCUGGCGGCAGGCUUAAUACAUGCAAGUCGAGCGCCCGUAGCAAUACGGGAGCGGCAGACGGGUGAGUAACGCGUGGGAACGUACCCUUUGGUUCGGAACAACACAGGGAAACUUGUGCUAAUACCGGAUAAGCCCUUACGGGGAAAGAUUUAUCGCCGAAGGAUCGGCCCGCGUCUGAUUAGCUAGUUGGUGAGGUAACGGCUCACCAAGGCGACGAUCAGUAGCUGGCUGAGAGGAUGAUCAGCCACACUGGGACUGAGACACGGCCCAGACUCCUACGGGAGGCAGCAGUAGGGAAUAUUGGACAAUGGGGGCAACCCUGAUCCAGCCAUGCCGCGUGAGUGAUGAAGGCCUUAGGGUUGUAAAGCUCUUUUGUGCGGGAAGAUAAUGACGGUACCGCAAGAAUAAGCCCC